UUGGAAUCGCUAGUAAUCGCGGAUCAGCAUGCCGCGGUGAAUACGUUCCCGGGCCUUGUACACACCGCCCGUCACACCAUGAGAGUCGGGAACACCCGAAGUCCGUAGCCUAACCGCAAGGGGGCGCGGCCGAAGGUGGGUUCGAUAAUUGGGGUGAAGUCGUAACAAGGUAGC
RNAcentral lists this ribosomal RNA (174 nucleotides) under uncultured bacterium. RNAcentral's name for it is "partial 16S ribosomal RNA". It matches the Rfam family "Bacterial small subunit ribosomal RNA", at positions 1326 to 1500 of the family's 1533-position model. The record is from RNAcentral.